GACUCAACGCGGGAAAUCUUACCGGGUCCGGACACACUGAGGAUUGACAGAUAUAUACCCCGUGAUUUUAUCGCGGGGUUGAAAGAUGCUAGUUCUUUCAUGAUUAUGUGAUAGGUGGUGCAUGGCCGUUCUUAGUUCGUGGAGUGAUCUGUCUGCUUAAUUGCGUAUCAAUAAUAGAGACCUAGUAUACGCGUAGACUCAUGCGGUAGUGACCCCCCUUCACAGGGCGCGUGUCGCACGUAUGUUAUACGCACAGGUCUCCGAUAGCAACGAACGUGACCGUACUCUAUUGUUGCAGCGACAAUACCUUUCAACGGGUAUUACCGCUGCUUAGCAAGAUUCGUCUUGCAUUAAACUAUAGAGACCGCUGUUUCUUCUUUAAACCAGAGGAAGGAUACGGCAAUAACA
This 408-nucleotide ribosomal RNA is filed under the name Ammonia sp. genotype T6. RNAcentral describes it as "SSU rRNA". It matches the Rfam family "Eukaryotic small subunit ribosomal RNA", at positions 1197 to 1458 of the family's 1831-position model. Lineage: Eukaryota; Foraminifera; Rotaliida; Rotaliidae. The record is from RNAcentral.